GGAUUAUGUAGACUUUAUCGCAUUCAUAGCUUGCUGAUAUUUGGCUAUAGUUGGACGUGUUGAAGCUCAGCCAACACAGAUGAUAGCAAUAGACAUGUGUUACCUAAUGUUCUUUAUCUAACUUGGCAAGCAAAGCCAAAGAAUUUAUGUCAGUAAUAAUAUAUCUACAUAAAACAUAAGAUCCAGUAAGGCAUUCUAGCUACCAUUAGCAAAUACAAUCAUCACUCUUUUGUCAUGCUGAUUUACUAUAUAAAGCUAAUAUACUAUGGCGUUCCUCUUUAUUUGUGUGGUAUGAUAUACCCUGGAUACACCCACAAGUGUCCUUUAUCAGUGCUAGUGAAUGGAAUUUUUUUUUAUUUUUGUAUAUUUUGUGUUGCUUUCAUUUCUUAUUUAAUUAAAUGACCUCAUGAAAAAAAUCAAUAUUCAUUAUUCUAUACUCAGAAUAGCAGUUUCACUUUAAUAUGCAGUACGACAUUAAUAUGGUUUGUGAGCACACAGACAUUUUGCAGACGAUAAUAAUAUUUGGAACAUUUUAUUUUGUUUUCAUAGUUAUGCGCAUAGUACUGAUUUAUAUGUACACCUUUAUUGCUUUGUUUUUUUCUUUCUUUCUUUUUUAACGAUUAAUAUUAUUGUUAUUUGCUUUUAUUAUAUUUGACACACAGUCUGAUUUGAUUAUUAUUCUUAUUCUCAUUUUGAGAAGUGAAUUUGAAAAACUGGGUUAUUAUAAUUUAUUUAUUUAUUUAUUUAUUUAUUUAUUUAUUUAUUUAUUUAUUUUAUAAGUUUUAGUGUGGCAAAUGUGUUAUAUAAGCUCACCAUAAGAUUUUCCUCUUCAGAAAACACUCCAGACUGAUGCUGAAAAGGUCAGAAAUGAAAACUAUAGAGAGAGGAAUUGUAAAUGGGUGAAGGUUCACCCAUUCCCCUAUUGCAAUAUCACAUUCUAGUUCAUAUCCCACUGGUUCUGACACGAGGGCGAGCUGGCGAAAUCACUUAGAGACCUGUGUUAUUACAUGACCAUUCUAUCAGGU
Long non-coding RNA from Ictalurus punctatus (channel catfish), 1025 nucleotides. Lineage: Eukaryota; Metazoa; Chordata; Actinopteri; Siluriformes; Ictaluridae. The record is from Ensembl.